AAACCAUACAUUGGCCAUUUUCUAAUUAACUCCUUGAAUCACUCUCAUGCUUCAUGUAAUGUUUCAUCCUCAGAUUGUCGAAAGGACAUAAUAUUGUUCCUCAAUUU
Non-coding RNA from Gossypium arboreum, 107 nucleotides. The record is from Rfam. NCBI's taxonomy places the organism in Eukaryota, Viridiplantae, Streptophyta, Magnoliopsida, Malvales, Malvaceae.